AAUAAAUGCAGCCAUGAGUUUCUGUGUGCAACUUUGAUCGUCCGUCUUAUUUUAAUUUUUUUUAUAACUACUAUUUUUUAUUGUUAUUAGAUUAUAAAAUAUGACUAAUACUUUAUGCGUGAUUUAUGUUUUUAGUUGGACACGGAAACUUGUAACCGCGUUUAUU
RNAcentral lists this microRNA precursor (166 nucleotides) under Oryza rufipogon (brownbeard rice). Its description in RNAcentral is "MIR812 microRNA precursor family". It matches the Rfam family "MIR812 microRNA precursor family". Lineage: Eukaryota; Viridiplantae; Streptophyta; Magnoliopsida; Poales; Poaceae. The record is from Rfam by way of RNAcentral.